RNAcentral lists this ribosomal RNA (372 nucleotides) under uncultured organism. RNAcentral's name for it is "bacterial SSU rRNA". It matches the Rfam family "Bacterial small subunit ribosomal RNA", at positions 527 to 896 of the family's 1533-position model. The record is from RNAcentral.
CGGGGGAGCAAGCGUUGUUCGGAUUUACUGGGCGUAAAGGGCGCGUAGGCGGCCUCUGCAAGUCGACUGUGAAAUCUCCGGGCUUAACCCGGAACGGUCAGCCGAUACUGCAGGGCUAGAGUGCAGAAGGGGCAACUGGAAUUCUCGGUGUAGCGGUGAAAUGCGUAGAUAUCGAGAGGAACACCUGCGGCGAAGGCGGGUUGCUGGGCUGACACUGACGCUGAGGCGCGAAAGCUAGGGAGCGAACGGGAUUAGAUACCCCGGUAGUCCUAGCCUUAAACGAUGAAUGCUUGGUGUCUGGGGUUUUAUAGUCCCCGGGUGCCGUCGCUAACGCUUUAAGCAUUCCGCCUGGGGAGUACGGUCGCAAGACUG